CUCCUUCCCAGCUCCAGACAAGCUAAGCUCUGAAGCAAAAUGUAUGGUUAGAUGCAGGAAUAUGAACUUUGAUGAACUUAUAGGACUGGAUGGACCUCCAGAGAUCAGCUACUGAUUUUUUAUUUAUUUUUUUUUAAAGAGUCUGUGUAGCUCUACAAGGGAAGUGUAAUUUUGUGUUACUGAAAUAUAAUAAAUUUCUUUAUAUUUCACGCAGGCCCUAACUUUACCAGCUACUAUUGCAGAAAUAACUAGAGUGCUCGUAACUGAGAAUUUAAAUGGAAUAUGAGUUGUAACCAUUCAGCAAACUCAGCUUUUCUUUCAUGCAAUGUAUGAGAUAUAUCUAGAAUAGAGGCAGAGCUCUCUUCUAAUCUCACCAGGAGUCAUGGUGGCCCUGUAAAAAAGAAGUUAUUCCCAACAAAGAAACUAUGUGGUUUCUGGUGGUGCCAGGCAAGGCUUUCAGCUUCUUUUUCUUCUCCUUUUGUUUUCCAAAUGGGUAUCUUCUGUGGAGCUACUACCAAACGUGACCUACACCAAAAGUGAUCAAAAUGCUGCUGUGCUGCUCCAGCUGCGGAGAGGAUUUUGCCAGUGGUGCACAAGAAGAUGAGGGAGGGAACUGAGGAGAUGGAGAUUGAAUCAUCAGGAGCUUCAACACCAUCUAAAGCUACUCUGGCCUACGGGGACGGCCCCUUAGAUGAAAGAAAACACAGAUGAACAUAGUAAUUGUUCCAAGCAAGCUGCAAAGAAUAGAUAUCAGCCAACUGUCUAAGAUGAGGAACUCGACAGUGCCAUUUCCAGUCCGAGAGAGGAAUGAAAAAAGCCACAGCAAGACUUGCAAGGCGUUGUUUUGAAGUGCUGCUGGCUCUUCCUACAGUUCAUCACGGAUCUUGUUAGGAAAUGAAGGAGAGGAAACUGGGCAACUGCGCUGCUGGGCCACGAGGAAACACACAAUGAGUAUAAUGAAGCCAGCAGCUGCAGGACAAUGGGAGCAGGCUGGGGCUAUUUUUGUUAGAUGUGAACAAUCAAUCGAACGUGUGAGACCUUAUCGUGCUCCCUCCCCGCCUUCUCCCCCUUUCUUGAACACUGGAAAUUUUCCCAAAGAGCUUUCCUUUUCUCUUAGUAAAGAUGAUUACCAUCAUAAUUUUCUCUUUCAUCUCCAAGCAGGUUUCUUUUGGAAAUCUUUGAUGGCUUCCUCUGAGCAUGGUUAUAUUGUCUUGCUGUGACAGAGUGAUUUGCAGCUGGGUCGCACUCGGCAUCAGGAAACCUGGAACAGCAUUUACCAGUAUUUAUGAGCGGCGAGCCUGAGCUCAGUAAACCCAGGAUGCCUCCUGAAGACAGAGGUAGCUAACCAAAAGCAUUUCCAGCUUUCUCCCGGGAUGUGUGGAAGCAGGGGGGCUCCUGUUGCUGUGAACACCCGGUGCCUGGGACAGCAAAGACAGGCCUUUUUCCCAGGGAAGAGGCUUGACAGGUCAUGGCUGUUUUGGGGAGGCAAAACCUGGCAGAGUUUCUACAUCACUGUGUUGCACUAGAGCUUGGCCACCAAACCUGGUGGGAUGAUCUUGGAGUGAACUGUUUUGGACUGGAUUCUGUGGCAGUGAACGACCAGGUGUGUGUAAUGUGUAUGGGAGUGAAAGAGCCUUCUGAGGAGCGAGAGGCAGAGCAGUUCUUCCAGCAUUUUGUGUGUCUUGUUCAAUUUGUAUUUAAUGAUAGACAGAGUGUUUUUUCACUGUUUCCAUUCUCUAGACCAAUUCACCUGUUCAUCAGUGGGCACACACAUAAGUUCACAAAGGUAUUUGCAUGUCAGUAAAGAUUUGAGAAAAUGUCCGAGCUGCGGUGAGCCUUCGUAUCUUGCAGUUAAAUUCCAUGUCUCUGAUGGAUUUCCCCACGCUGUUGCUAGGAGAUGAAGACACUGCCUAACAAAGGAUAUAUUGACAAAAAAUUUUCCAGAACAAAUCUAUCUUGUUAUGGUAAAUACACUCUCACAUAAAAUGAAUAUUGCAGGAUUUAUUUCCCCAUUGGUGGCAGUGGCAAAAUUGCACACAUCAAGUUAAGGUGAAAUUUUCUCAUCACAAAUGUGUUUUUGUUUUGUUUUGUUGACAUGAGGACUUCCAGUGUGUUUAAUGCCGAAAGUGCUGUUGCCUUCCAGUGUGUUUUGUUGCUAGGCUGAUAGCAUGAACACAUCCUACAUUAGUAUUUUUCCCUCUUCCCUUCUCUGCUACUUUUCCCUUUCAGGAAGAAAUGUGGCUUAUUAUAAAGAUUUCCUUUUUUCAUGACUCUUCUGGGAAGCAUGGAUUCCUUUGUU
This is a long non-coding RNA of Oxyura jamaicensis (ruddy duck), 2299 nucleotides long. RefSeq lists it as uncharacterized. The transcript is spliced from 6 exons. The record is from RefSeq and is a predicted model, not a curated record. Lineage: Eukaryota; Metazoa; Chordata; Aves; Anseriformes; Anatidae.